Molecule: ribosomal RNA, 397 nt
Filed under: uncultured bacterium
Lineage: Bacteria
Description: partial 16S ribosomal RNA
Rfam family: Bacterial small subunit ribosomal RNA
Source: RNAcentral
AUACGUAGGGGGCGAGCGUUGUCCGGAAUGAUUGGGCGUAAAGGGCGCGUAGGCGGCCCGGUAAGUCUGGAGUGAAAGUCCUGUUUUUAAGAUGGGAAUUGCUUUGGAUACUGUCGGGCUUGAGUGCAGGAGAGGUAAGUGGAAUUCCCAGUGUAGCGGUGAAAUGCGUAGAGAUUGGGAGGAACACCAGUGGCGAAGGCGACUUACUGGACUGUAACUGACGCUGAGGCGCGAAAGUGUGGGGAGCAAACAGGAUUAGAUACCCUGGUAGUCCACACUGUAAACGAUGAAUACUAGGUGUAGGGGGUAUCGACCCCUUCUGUGCCGCAGUCAACACAAUAAGCAUUCCGCCUGGGGAGUACGGCCGCAAGGUUGAAACUCAAAUGAAUUGACGGGG